CAGUAGCCGCGGUAAUACAGAAGAUGCAAGCGUUAUCCGGAAUGAUUGGGCGUAAAGCGUCUGUAGGUGGCUUUUCGAGUCCACCGUCAAAUCCCAGGGCUCAACCCUGGACAGGCGGUGGAAACUACCAAGCUAGAGUACGGUAGGGGCAGAGGGAAUUUCCGGUGGAGCAGUGAAAUGCAUUGAGAUCGGAAAGAACACCAACGGCGAAAGCACUCUGCUGGGCCGACACUGACACUGAGAGACGAAAGCUAGGGGAGCAAAUGGGAUUAGAUACCCCCGUAGUCCCUGUCUCUUAUAC
This 301-nucleotide ribosomal RNA is filed under the name uncultured bacterium. RNAcentral describes it as "partial 16S ribosomal RNA". It matches the Rfam family "Bacterial small subunit ribosomal RNA", at positions 509 to 807 of the family's 1533-position model. The record is from RNAcentral.